Molecule: long non-coding RNA, 561 nt
Organism: Chelonia mydas (Green sea turtle)
Lineage: Eukaryota; Metazoa; Chordata; Testudines; Cheloniidae
Exons: 4
Source: RefSeq, a predicted model, not a curated record
UUGAUUGCUUCACCUCUUUACAACUCUCACUUUCACUUAUCUUUUUUUUUAGGCACUGAAAACCUCUUUUAUGCUCUGAGAAGAACUGAACCUUCUAGUCUGACUGGAAUCUUGCCAAAGAGUUGUAUGUUCCUUCAAACUUCUCUUCCCAUUAUGUAUCGAAACAACUGAAUUGAGACUGAAAGGAGAAAUCAAACUGGUUAGAGGCUUGCAACUCAGACUGGAAGCAAGGCAGUCUUGGUGAAGAGCUGCUGGACGUGGAAUUUGCUGUGCUGAUCUAUAUUUUAUUGUCUGUCAAGACCAAGAUGUUAUGACAUGUCUCGCCUUCGCAGAGGAUUUGCUGCUGGCAUUGUGUUACUCCUCACCAGUUUAAAAUAAACAUCCUUACAUUCUUCAUAAGACUUUUCACGUCUUCUGAGUCUAUGGACAAAUGAACAGAAGCUAUCAAGAGACUUCAUGCCAGACUGUGAUGAAUAGGAAGGCUGGUUGGUGUACAUGCAGCUUGCUCAAAUAGACCCCAUGACCACUAGACUGGAGCACCUGAGGAGGGCUUAUUUGACA